AAAACACAUGGCAUAUAUGUAGAAAUUAAUUCUAAAAUCCAUAGGUCAAAGAGGACGGGAAUAAUGUUGGUUUGAAGCUAUGUUGAUGCAUCCAUGUACUUAGAGAUGAUGGUUCAAUACAUUAGCCUGAACAGUUAGAAGUUGUUCUAGCAAUUUUCUUGAUUGGUUGAAAAAACCCUAAAGCCAAUGUUGAUUUAAAGUUAAUGAAAUUUACAUCCCAGAACUUCCCUGGUGAAAGAAAUAAAUCCCAAAAUUUAAGGAGACAGAAAUAUUGGAGUUGAUUUUUCUUGCAGCAACCUUCCUACCUUCUUUUCCUUUCUCCAGAAUGUCUCCUUAUAGGGCUAAAAUGAUAUUUAUUUUGCUAAGACAUCCAAAAGUGCUUUAAUUCAGGAAACAAAUCCUUGAGGAUUUCCUCUGUAUGCUGGAAUGAUGGUAGAAGCUGCUGAUAUUGAUAUAGAUUUUCUGAUUUCAGUGGGGUUAAUGGAAUCCUGGACUGGCGGAGAUGUAUCCCUGCUUAAUUAUCGGAUAUAAGAUAAAGGAACCAUGUGGGAGGAGAAUGAAGAUGCACCCUGCCUUGUCAGGCACUGAAUGGGACAACUAUAGUGGGGCUCAAAGGGGGUGAAUCCCCUAUUUAAAGUGUUGAAGAUCACCAAGAGAGAAGGCAAGGGCUGCAGCUCUUAAAGCCUGGAACGGUAUGUGGGGAUCCCUGAUGUCUUUCUUGGAAGUUCCAUCGCCCUGCUGUGUGACCUUCCUUAAGCCUUUGGCCUCUGCACAUCCAACCUCUGUACAUGGUCCUCUACUAAGGGGAUACUUACCUCUUUCAUUGGGAUCACUGAAGGACUAAUGCAUUCAUUGUUGCUACAAUUGCAACUCUUUUGACUGUUCCUUUUAACCCAAGGGUGGAUUGUGUGAGGGGCAUAAUUUAAAGGAUAAGCCAAUAACCAAUGCCCUUUUCUACCUUUAGAGUCUUUUCAUAAGAUUCUUUCAAUAUAAAAUGUUACAAUCUUGACUUUUUCUGCGUGUAUCAAAUAUACAACUAAAAGGAGUAGUUAGAGUUCAUCUUCAGAACUGUAGAAAAAAUCAAAUGGCAAGUUUUCUGCAAUCAUAAAAAAAUGCACUGUCACUCUCAGAGGUCAAGUUACAUGACCCAGUGAUGCCAACUGACCAAAAUGUUUUUGUCAUGGACGAUUUCUGCUCUAGUCAUAGCUUUAUUUACCAAGUCUAGUUUUCAUAGAAAAACAAGAAAAGGCAUGAGAAUAGUAUGUAGACCACUAAAGUAUUUUUUUUCAAUGAAAAUUUAGGAGUUUAAAAUAGAAUACUCAAAGUUAUUGAUUAUGGCAAAACAAAAGUAACAGACACUAUUGAAGAGCAGGCACAUCCUGAAACCAUCCACAUAAAAGGCCUUCAUCUGACUAGUGGAAUACAUGAAAAGUGAAACCAUCUCUUUCCACAGAAAAAAAUUUAGGAAACCUAGACAUUCAAAACAAUAGCUUGCAAAUUAUGGCAUCAUAAAUGGCUAAAAACCAAAGCCUGUUUCUAUAUACAGAUAAACAAAAAUCUUAAUUUGGGAUUUUUCUGUUUUAAGCCAAUAUAAUUCUAUUUCUAAGCCCAUCAUUCUUAGCGUACUAAAUACAUAAGUGUAUUACAAUAAUUGCAAUUUAAAAUUAAGCAAAAUUGGCAGAUGAGAGAGCAGUUUGAAACACAGAAGCUACUAAAUUCAAACUGAUUAUGGAUUUGGCAACAUCAUGUCCAUUUUUCACUUCAAAAUAAAUGUUAGAGACAUUUAAAGAAUGUCUUUAAAGAAUUAAAGUAAAUAGAAAAGAAAAAAAAGUCUUGCAUAUAAAAAGAUGGGUGUUUUGCCUAUAUUUGACUUUUUCUGUACUUAACAGAAGAGGCAAUGAUACUCUGCAUAUAUUUUCCUUGCUGUAUCAUUUAUUAUUUUUAUUUUCAACAAUUCUAAGUCUAAAUUCAAAUUAUAUAUUCAACAGCUUUUUUUGUGUGUGAGAUUUUGCAAUUAAUGGCCCUAUGAAGUUUUAUUUUCUCUCCACUUUUACAUAUUGGAUCAUUGACUAGUUGGCUUAUCUUUGAUUUUUUAUAACAAUCUCAUUUGGUUUUAUAAGUUAGGGAUUUUCUGAUUUUUCCCAUUGUAGGAAAUAAAUUAGUCACUUAGCACAAUUUCUCAGUUUUAAAAAUUAUUACGUAUUAGAAACUUACUUGGAUCAUCUCAUAAAAAAUUUAAAGUUCAUUAAGAUUAAUGAUGCAAUUGUCCAUUCUUCCAAUAAACACCUUAAGUUUUUACUACCCAAUACAGAUGGUACAAUUCUCCCAGCAUUAAGAUAUUAAAAUAAAAAUGGAGUUAAACACUUUUAAAAUAUUGAAAUAAAACAAACUGAACUUAGAUUGUCUAUUGGCAUUUCUUAUAAUUGCCUAUUGUCUCUUUGGAAAUGGAAAAUGACUUCAGGAACCCAAUGCAAAACUAGGCUGCAUCAAAAGGAUGCAGAGUGGUGAACUGUGCUGACCUCUUAGGUGAAUUUAGUAUGAUUGAUUGUGAUAUUAUAAUAAUGCCUUUAUAUAUGAUAUUAGUUAAAAUAAUAAAACUGCCUUUGAUACAGGAUGCAAUGCCAGGAUCAGAUAAUUUCCAAAUCUCAGGAUCUAGCCUCUUGACAUUUUUCAUGAAAACUAAGCUCUACUCCAACUGUAGAUUAGCUGUAUACUUCCCAUGAUAUUUCAGAAAUGGGUAAGUAGCCCUUUAAGACAAGAUAUGAAGUGUUUGCAAGAUUUCAGUAGUCAAGACUCCAUUAUUAUAGUCACGGUAGUAAUUUCAUUCUGACCAGACAGAUGUAGGGCUGGUCUCAAAUCUUUGAGGUUAAUAAAAAGUUGUUUAGCUUCUUAGCACAAAAGAUUGAGAAAAGUCAGGUGGAAUAACAUGUGCAUUCCAAAAGAACAAUCUGCAGAUGCAUUCAUCAUGGAAGACAAGGUCAGGCAUUUUUUUCAUGUAAGUUGAUCAAAAUGUUAUAAUUGAAGAGAAAUAUCUCAAUAAGAGGGGCUCCAAUAAAUGUGGAUAGCAGCAGAUUCAAAUUGGAAGUUCUCGGAUAAAGAGAUGUUUUGAUUUUGUUUUAUGGUAGCGUCUCACAUACAGAAAUUUGGGCUGACAAACGUACAUGGUUCUUAAAAGACGAUGUUGACCAUAACUUCUCCAGGAUAUUCUCAGUUGCAAAAGAGAUUUGCCAAAGAAAAUGGAUGAAAGAGGUCAAGAGACAGGUUGUUCCGAUUUGACAGGACAUCUAGCCAGAGUUCCAGUCAAUUUCAUUAUCAGCAAGGCAUCUGCACAGAUGAAGGUGUUCAGAGAAAACUAAUAAAACAAGAUACAGUAUUGAUGAUAAAAGAAAAGAUUAAAAGUCUGAAUUAAGAAAGCUUGCCUUCAAGAAAAUAGAAUUAGGAUGAAGUAUUUGAGAUAUAUUUAUAGCCCAGAAGGAAAAUUACUAUUUAAGAUAGAGUAAGACAAUGUGUUCCGAUGCAGUAAAAGAAAUCUGAACAAAGAAACUCCACAUUGCCCAUCCGGAAACUUUCUUAUUUGUAAGAUACAUGGGCCAUAAAGUGGCACAUAUUUCUUUUCUAAGGGCUGCACUCAAAGUCAUAUUUUAUAAAUGAUUUAACUUAGGCUGGAAAAAGCACUUGACAAAAUAAUCUGCAGGGACAGAAUGUAGACAACAGUAAGUUAAACACACUUUUAUUUCUAGCAUAUAGUAAACCAAGAAAACAACGAAUGCACAGAAAUAGCCAUCAACAGAUACUCUGCUAUUCUAGCUGAAAACCCUAUUUCAGUAAGCUGAGAAACUAAAUGGAAAAAAAAUAAACAUAGACUACACAGUCUAAUAAAAACACAAGGGACAGAAAAAUUUAUCCUUUUCAUGAAAAUUAUUUGGUAUUAGAGAUAAAGAGACUUUAAAUUCCCAACUCAGUCAAAAUAUAUCACCGUGCCUUUUACAUAGUAGGGAUGCAAUGGAAAUGUUGAAUUCAGUGAAUGAAUCAGAAAAUAUUCUUAUGUGAACAACAAAUAAAUGCAGCUCUUUGAAUCUCUGAUUGUUUGCCAUUGGAAAUUAGAAACGACUUAUGGAAACUGAUGUAUUUUAAGAAAAAUAUUAUUGUCAAAAUGUUAUCAAAUCCAGUACUGAAUAAAAAAAUCCUGAC
Molecule: long non-coding RNA, 4191 nt
Filed under: Homo sapiens (human)
Lineage: Eukaryota; Metazoa; Chordata; Mammalia; Primates; Hominidae
Description: HSALNT0034687
Source: RNAcentral